RNAcentral lists this long non-coding RNA (1989 nucleotides) under Homo sapiens (human). RNAcentral's name for it is "non-protein coding lnc-SERPINB9-1:4". The record is from RNAcentral. Lineage: Eukaryota; Metazoa; Chordata; Mammalia; Primates; Hominidae.
GCCUGGCCUCUGAAGGUCACUCGAGGCUCACUGUACAGCUGUCGCUUGCCAGGCAGCCCGAGAGAGUUCUGGCGAGGGCUGCGGGAAGGAAAGGGGGCGGCGUCCUUCACAGGGAGGGUGCAGCUGACCUCCCUCCCCUUGUGCAGACUGGAAAAGAAUGGCCCAGAUCCUCUGGACUCCUCAGAUGAGCGGAUUCAGAGAGAAGCUUUUGAGAGCGUGCUGGCGGAGACAUUUUUCACAAAAGAGCCCUUGCGGUGCUGGUGUCCGUGGCGUGCCUGGGAAGGCCCACCAACGCUGGCCGGCCUCCAAGCACCCGGGCCUCUGCUCAUGUACAGCUCCUGAACUGCCCUGCCUCUGAGUUACUGUGGAAAAUGAGCUUAUAUAUGAAGAAGUCAGCGAGUGGACAAAGCCAGGCGCAAUGGAUAGCAAAGAUGUGGAAGUCUCCUCGAUUCAAGUUACAAGAAAACCGCAGCAUGGAGUCUGCUCUCAGCUGUUGGGGAAUUACCGAUGCCUUUGACUAAGUCAAGACUGACUUUUCCAGAAUAUCACCCAAGAGAUAGAGCCGUCCCUGUCCAAGUUUGUGCGCUAGCCCUUCAUGGAGGUCAGAGAGGAAGAAACAAAGGCAGCUGUGGCCUCGGCGGUCACAGUGUCAGAACGCACAAGCCCCAUAAAGAGGUUUCACGCAGGCCACCCAUCCCUUUUCAUUCUCCAGCAGAACAGGACAGAGAGCGUUCUGUUCUGCGGAAGGUCUUCCACUCUACAAGGCAAUCCCUCCAGCUGCUUUGCUGUAUUGUGCUGUCUCCUGUCACACUAUGAAUGCAGUGACCUCAGCCAGCAACAGGGAGAACCCCCCUGCCUCCCGAACAAAGGACCUCACGUGAAAUCCUGAGCUCAGAGCUUACAGAUAUGUGUGCGCUUUCACUUUACAUCGGCCGUGACUUCCAAACAACUUCAGGAAACUUUAGGAUCUCUGAGGUAUACUGGAGAUGACAGCAGCGUAGAAUGUUCAUUUGGAUUUAGAACAGAAAUGCUUAUUUUAUAUUUGGCUGCUCCCAAACUGUCCCCAGACUUCCUCUCCAGUGGUUACCCUCCACUGCCCUGGAUGUCCCACGUUUACACUCCACACUCACACCUCCACCUUAACAAAGUCCUCCACUGGGUCAAACCAUACAUCGCUUCGUCUCUGUAGUGAUGACUUCCUGUCCUCUGCUCUGUGGAUAAAGACCCCAGAUAAAGAUGCCUGUGUUGCUCAACUCUUGUAAAUACUCUUGAGACAUUUUGAAAGCAGAAGGAAAGGAGACAGACGGGGAAAAUAAAAGGGAUGGUCUGCUUGUGCGGAAACGUUUUGAGAAUGCCCUUCCCUAAGAGAGAACAGUAAAAGUGAGCAAUACUUCCUGAGCUGUGGGUUCAUAUGGCUGGACUGUGCUGUUUCUCACGGGAGAAGUUCUCGUCUCCCCUGCGUGUACAUCCCUGUUUGCCAGCCUGGCCUUCGGUGUGGUGAUAUCAUGGUGCACUCCCAGGAGGGAAGUGCUUGGUCAAGACUUCUGCUUGGGUUCGACUAUCAGUUCUGGUUUCCUUUAAGGCACAGGAUCUUCCCUUUAAGGCACAAACACCCCCUUGACACAAAGUAAGGGACAAGGGAACUUUAAACCAUUUGGAAACCCAAGCACAAUAGGCUGUAGGUUGUAAAAAGAAAUUACAAAGGUAAUUUUAUCCAGAAGAGGGAGCAGUUUAACUUCUGCAGGGUAAGAUUCAGAUUCACUUUUGUAACUGAACAGGGAAUUUUCUAAAUAUUUUGAAAAUGCCGAAACAUUUCCUGUUGGCAUUUCACAGAAACGUUCAAAGUUCCCUAAUGAUAGUUUCCGCUGUGCUCACUCCGGAGGCUGCUAAGCAACCUCAGUAAUUAGCUCGAUUGAGGAAACGAAACUGUGGGGGACUCAGUUUCCAUGAUAGGGAAACCAGGCAAGAAAUAUUGUCUCCUCAAGUUGC